Molecule: ribosomal RNA, 418 nt
Filed under: uncultured bacterium
Lineage: Bacteria
Description: bacterial SSU rRNA
Rfam family: Bacterial small subunit ribosomal RNA
Source: RNAcentral
UAUUUGUCAAUGGACGCAAGUCUGAACCAGCCAUGCCGCGUGCAGGAUGACGGCUCUAUGAGUUGUAAACUGCUUUUGUACGAGGGUAAACCCCGAUACGUGUUUUGGGUUGAAAGUAUCGUACGAAUAAGGAUCGGCUAACUCCGUGCCAGUAGCCGCGGUAAUACGGGGGAUCCGAGCGUUAUCCGGAUUGAUUGGGUUUAAAGGGUGCGUAGGCGGUUUGAUAAGUUAGAGGUGAGAUGUCGGGGCUCAACCCCGAAACUGCCUCUAAUACUGUUGGACUAGAGAAUAGUUGCGGUAGGCGGAAUGUAUGGUGUAGCGGUGAAAUGCUUAGAGAUCAUACAGAACACAGAUUGCGAAGGCGGCUUACCAAACUAUAUCUGACGUUGAGGCACGAAAGCGUGGGUAGCAAACAGGA